GCCGGUUUAGUUUAAUGGUAAAAUUAGUAACUUGUAAUUACUCGACACUAGUUCGAUUCUAGUAACCGGCA
This is a non-coding RNA of Tilletia walkeri, 71 nucleotides long. The record is from Rfam. NCBI's taxonomy places the organism in Eukaryota, Fungi, Basidiomycota, Exobasidiomycetes, Tilletiales, Tilletiaceae.